RNAcentral lists this long non-coding RNA (2347 nucleotides) under Canis lupus familiaris (dog). RNAcentral's name for it is "lncRNA (ENSCAFG00845004121.1)". The record is from RNAcentral. Lineage: Eukaryota; Metazoa; Chordata; Mammalia; Carnivora; Canidae.
UUUUUUUUUUUUUUUUUUAAGUUUCUGUAUUUUAUUUAUUUAUUUUUUAUUUUUUUGAACAUUGUAUUUAUUUAUUCAUGAGAGACACACACACACACAGAGAGAGAGAGAGAGAGACAGGCAGAGGGAGAAGCAGGCACCAUGCAGGGAGCCCGAUGUGGGACUCGAUCCUGGGUCUCCAAGAUCACACCCUGGGCCAAAGGCGGCGCUAAACCGCUGGGCCACCGGGGUUGCCCUGCCCAGGACUUUUGUCUCUUAAUGCCAGAGCAUCCUGUUGGCCCCUUCAUUGGUUAAGAAAACAUUGCCACUUGGGGUAUUCAUUCUCUAGCAUAUAACAAAUCAUUGCAAGUUUAGUGGAUUUAAAUUACACAGAUGUAUUCUUUUACAGUUCUGGAGGUUAGAAGUCUAAAAUGAGUCUUAGGGAGUUAAAUCCCAAGUGUCACCGGGGCUGUUUCCUUCUGGAGUUUUCAAGGGAGAAUCUGUUCAUUGGUUCUUGAACUUCUAAGUGCUGUGGGCAUUCUUUGCCUCUUGGCCAUGUCACUCCCACCUCUGCCUCUACCAUAGCAGUUUCCUCUCUCUGGAAUCUCCCUCUGCCUCCCUCUGAUAAGGACUCUUGAGUUAUUGAGCCUUCCUGGAUAAUCCGUGACAAUCUACCUUGUGAUCCUGAUCACAUCUGCAAGGUUCCUUUUAUCACAUAGGGUAGCAUAUCAACAAUGCUAGGGAUUCAGAACAUACAUUUUUGGAAGACCCUUAUCCAGCCUACCUUACUUAGGGUAUGAACCUUGGAGGGAGUGGAUCUGGAUGGGAAUUCUAACUUUGCCACUUGCUGUCCUUAUAUCCUUGGGAAAGUUAUUAAUUCUCCUAGUUUCUCACCCCUACAGGGGGGGUAAUACUGCCAACUCCACAGAUAAUGUAUGUAAAACAAAAGGCUUUAUGUAACAGAUGUUCCACAAAUUUAAACCACCUCCCCCGCCCAACCUCCAAGAACUGAAGGGGGAAGGAAUGAAAAAUCUCACAGGUUCUAUCAGGCCAAGUUAUCGGUCAAUAGAAAUGGCUAGUCUUUGAUUGUUCCUUCUGGGGACUGGAUAGUUAGAGAAGUAUUAAUGCACAUAGGAAGCUUAAGACAUUCUCAUUUUAUGAGUGCUACUGUGAACCAGGGCGUUUUCUCAGUGCACCUCCCUAUAUUGGGUCAAGCACACUAGUGAUUUUUGACAGAUUCUUUCUGUCACCCAGCUGCCUUGUGUCACAGGAUGCCAAUGGCACUGAAAGUCCUAUGACUGAUUCUGCCCCUGUUGAGAACAAUAGCUAUUUGAAUUUGAUUUGCCCAUCUUCUGGGAAGACAGUCAAAGUUUCCCUUCAGUACGGCCGAGUUGACAAUAGGCACCCCUUGUACUCUUUACAGCUCGUUCACCUAUUAUUAUGAUGAUGUCAUUAUUCACAUUAUUGCUCUCAUCAUUAUUAUUAUUAUCCGGUGACCUCUGUCCUGGGGUGGAACUCCCUGUGACAGAUGGGAGCUUCAUUUAUCGGACUGCUUUAUGCUGCACAAUUCCCCUGCCAUUCUGAGUUUAUAUUGAGACGGGCUGCUUUUCGAACAAAGGCAGCCUGAUCACAAUUUGUCAGUGUACUUGGUAGCUAUAUAUCACCAAAGCUCUCUGCCAGUCCUUCUGGGACCCAAUUAUUUAUGGAGCUGACAAUAUGGGCUAACUUGUCUUGUUAUGAAUGCCACUAUUACAAUGAAAGCUUUGCUAUCUUGAAUAGUUCUGGUUGGCCAAAAAUUCUAUUAACUAAGAGUUAAUUGACACUGCCCCAGGUGAUCUCCUGGUGCCCCAAGUGAGUUGGUGAGAUCCAUGGGGAAGGUUCUAUUCCAAUAUUCUUUUCUGUCCAGACUUGGGAGAUCUCUUGAUAAUUUUAGUUUCUGUGGUUUCUGUGUAACACAGGUUUGUUUUUUAAGUUUGGAUAGAACCUUUCUUCUGAGUACACUAUGGACACAGUUUACCAAGUUCUGUGGGGAAUGGAAAUGGAAUGAAAGACUUGGGCUAUCUCUGUAAAGUGCUUAUAAUUGAAUAAGGGAAGGAUCCAACUCAAAUCUAUAUUUACCAACGCAGAUGAUAGGGAAAGAAAUAUCAGCCGUGUCCAGCUAGACUGCCUCAAGCCUGAAAAUGGACUCUGAUGCCCCAAAUGCCAUUCCAGUGAAGUGACUCCUUUAUUCUCCAAUAUCCUUCACUAACUCUUGUGUCACGCUGAUUUGAAAUCAAAUCCCUCAUCUCUGCUUUUAAGAUGCCUCAAAAGAACACUGAGGAAAAAGGAAGCUAAUUAAACCUAAAAGAAAAAAAAAAAAAAAAAAAAG